AGAGGGGGAAAUCAUCGAUGGCGAAGCACCUCCACCUCCUGCUCGCCGCCUGCAUCUUCCUCUCCUCGGCGGCGGCGGCGGCGGCGUCGUCGGAUCCUGGCUCCUCGUCGCAGACUCUGCCACGGACAGCCGCUCCUGGAAGUCUUCAGAUCGACGGAACCAAUUUCGACUCUCUCCGUCUUCGCCAGGAGCUUCAACCGCGGCAGGAGGACGGAUUCGAGGUAUGAUAUCAGUUUGAAUCCUCUCCCUCUCUCUCUCGCUCGCUCAUCGUUCUGGAUCUGCUUCCCCCACUCUGGGAGAGCAGAAGAGGUGGGGGGGAAGGCAGAGGCAGGAUCGCGAAACUAAAUGCCGGCGAAUCUGGAUUUGAUGCGCAGACGAAGAGCAGCGGGAUGGGAAGGGGCGCCUGCACGUACACGGUGAGCAUCAAGACGAGCUGCUCCUCCCCCAGAUUGACCCGCGACGCCAUCAGCCUCGUUUUCGGCGACUUCUACCACAACGAGGUACUGCUCCCUCUCUUCGCCUUCCUGUCAAUCUAAUCCAAAGGAUUUCUUCUGCUGCGCUCGGCAGAUCGCCGAUCCAGCGGACCUUCUCCCUACUUUCACUGCCCCUCCGUCAAAGAUCAGCAUACAGCUAUCUGUAGUGGCGGACUACAGCCUCCAUAGAUCUCUAGCACUCGAUCGUCACGGCGUCUGUUCUCUCCCGCAGUCGGUCCGUCGAUCGACGACGCUCGGAUCCAUCGAUCGAUCGAUCUCUCAUUCCAUUCUGCUAGGGUUAGGGUUAGGGUUUCGUGAGCUCUCCUUCCAUCUGCGCGCAGGUGUACGCUCCCCGACUGGACGAUCCUGCUUCGAGGGCGUUCGAACGGUGCUCCACGGACACCUUCCGCAUUGCCGGGCCCUGCGGCGGCCCCACCUGCUACCUCUACCUCUUCCGCUCCGGCCACGACGGCUGGACACCGGACUCCGUGAAGGUCUUCUACCGCCCCGGGGACUCCCGCUCCGCCAUCACCUUCUUCUAUCAAGUCCCCAUCCCCAGCGGCGUCUGGUACGGCUUCGACCUCUGCCACAGCAGCUCCUCCGUCCCUUCCCUUCUCCCUUUCGCCACGACGACGGCGGCGGCGGCGGUGGCGGCAGCGGCGGCGGCGGUGAUCUGAGGGCGAAGGCGAGAGCCCUCGGGCACCUCACCGGCCCAUGUCCGGCGACCAAUAAACGUUUACCACUUCUCCCUGGUUCCUGAGGACCACACCGCCGGCCGACA
RNAcentral lists this long non-coding RNA (1254 nucleotides) under Spirodela polyrhiza (greater duckweed). RNAcentral's name for it is "long non-coding RNA (SPOL_LNC001234)". Lineage: Eukaryota; Viridiplantae; Streptophyta; Magnoliopsida; Alismatales; Araceae. The record is from RNAcentral.